UACGAAGGGGGCUAGCGUUGCUCGGAAUCACUGGGCGUAAAGCGCACGUAGGCGGAUCCUUAAGUCGGGGGUGAAAUCCUGGAGCUCAACUCCAGAACUGCCUUCGAUACUGAGGAUCUCGAGUCCGGGAGAGGUGAGUGGAACUGCGAGUGUAGAGGUGAAAUUCGUAGAUAUUCGCAAGAACACCAGUGGCGAAGGCGGCUCACUGGCCCGGUACUGACGCUGAGGUGCGAAAGCGUGGGGAGCAAACAGG
RNAcentral lists this ribosomal RNA (253 nucleotides) under uncultured bacterium. RNAcentral's name for it is "partial 16S ribosomal RNA". It matches the Rfam family "Bacterial small subunit ribosomal RNA", at positions 524 to 776 of the family's 1533-position model. The record is from RNAcentral.